Molecule: ribosomal RNA, 255 nt
Filed under: uncultured bacterium
Lineage: Bacteria
Description: partial 16S ribosomal RNA
Rfam family: Bacterial small subunit ribosomal RNA
Source: RNAcentral
UACGUAGGGGGCAAGCGUUGUCCGGAUUUAUUGGGCGUAAAGAGCGUGUAGGCGGCCACACAGGUCAGCUGUGAAAACUCGAGGCUCAACCUCGAGACGUCGGUUGAAACCGUAUGGCUAGAGUCCGGAAGAGGAGAGUGGAAUUCCCGGUGUAGCGGUGAAAUGCGCAGAUAUCGGGAAGAACACCCGUGGCGAAGGCGGCUCUCUGGGACGGUACUGACGCUGAGACGGCGAAAAGCGUGGGGAGCGAACAGG